GCAGGGCUGUCUGAUGCGAUUAACCGCAUAGUCUAUCCGAGCCAACAUGAUAUUUUAUAGGGAGCUGUCUCUGUUCAGAUCGUGGUCUGAUUAUAUGGCACCCACCUUGACUAAAGCGGUUCGAUAUGAAUGUUGAGUAUUUUGUUAAGCGGUCAGACGGCUCUGUC
RNAcentral lists this non-coding RNA (167 nucleotides) under Alphaproteobacteria bacterium. RNAcentral's name for it is "6S RNA". It matches the Rfam family "6S / SsrS RNA". Rfam says of the family: E. coli 6S RNA was the first non coding RNA to be sequenced, but its function was unknown until recently. Lineage: Bacteria; Pseudomonadati; Pseudomonadota; Alphaproteobacteria. The record is from RNAcentral.